Molecule: unclassified non-coding RNA, 377 nt
Filed under: uncultured Parachlamydiaceae bacterium
Lineage: Bacteria; Pseudomonadati; Chlamydiota; Chlamydiia; Parachlamydiales; Parachlamydiaceae
Description: contains 16S-23S intergenic spacer region
Source: RNAcentral
UCCUGGUUAACCCAGGCAGUCUCAUUAGAGUUCCCAUCCGAAAUGUUGGCAACUAAUGAUAAGGGUUGCGCUCGUUGCGGGACUUAACCCAACACCUCACGGCACGAGCUGACGACAGCCAUGCAGCACCUGUGCACCGGUCCCGAAGGAAGAGGCUAUUUCUAGCCCUGUCCGGUGCAUGUCAAGUCUGGGUAAGGUUCUUCGCGUUGCAUCGAAUUAAACCACAUGCUCCACUGCUUGUGCGGGUCCCCGUCAAUUCUUUUGAGUUUCACCCUUGCGAGCGUACUCCCCAGGCGGUAUACUUAUCGCGUUAGCUUCGGCACAACCGGGGUUGAGUCCAGUUACACCAAGUAUACAUAGUUUACGGCAAGGACUAC